RNAcentral lists this non-coding RNA (26 nucleotides) under Rattus norvegicus (Norway rat). The record is from RNAcentral. Lineage: Eukaryota; Metazoa; Chordata; Mammalia; Rodentia; Muridae.
UGGGCUCCCUGACAGACGGCUGGCUG